Suricata suricatta (meerkat) is the source of this 384-nucleotide long non-coding RNA. RefSeq lists it as uncharacterized. The transcript has 3 exons. NCBI's taxonomy places the organism in Eukaryota, Metazoa, Chordata, Mammalia, Carnivora, Herpestidae. The record is from RefSeq and is a predicted model, not a curated record.
AGGACUAGACCCGUGGCUGUUUGGGGAGGCAGGUGCAUGUCCACUUCUGGUGAGAGGGAUACGGCACAGAUGUUACCUUAGCACUUGCUAGCAGCUGAUGACCGAGGCAGAUCUGGGGACAUCAAGAUGAACAACAUGUGACCCUGCUUUUAAGGUAGACAAUAAAUUGGGACGUUAGGAGGCAGCGGUUACAGCCUCAUCUGACAGACAAGAAAACAGAAGUGGCCCAGUCAUGUAGCUGGAGAGCUAAGAUUUGCCCUGUGGUCUGUCUGACUCCAAAGCCCAUCCUCUCUUCUCCACGCCGUAUUGUCUUCCAAAUCAAAAGUCUGUGACUCCCCGCUAGGCAUUGUUCUAUUGCUCCAAACUGUUCUCUGUACAAAAGAU